RNAcentral lists this ribosomal RNA (468 nucleotides) under uncultured bacterium. Its description in RNAcentral is "partial 16S ribosomal RNA". It matches the Rfam family "Bacterial small subunit ribosomal RNA", at positions 28 to 507 of the family's 1533-position model. The record is from RNAcentral.
GACGAACGCUGGCGGCGUGCUUAACACAUGCAAGUCGAACGGAAAGGCCCUGCUUUUGUGGGGUGCGCGAGUGGCGAACGGGGGAGGAACACGUGAGUAACCUGCCCUUGACUUUGGGAUAACUUCAGGAAACUUGGGCUAAUACCGGAUAGGAGCUCCUGCCGCAGGGUGGGGGUGGGAAAGUUUCGGCGGUUGGGGAUGGACUCGCGGCUUAUCAGAUUGUUGGUGGGGUAGUGGCUUACCAAGGCUUUGACGGGUAGCCGGGCUGGGAGGGUGACCGGCCACAUUGGGCCUGAGAUACGACACAGACUCGUACGGGAGGCAGCGGUGGGGAAUAUUGCACAAUGGGCGGAAGCCUGAUGCAGCAACGCCGCGUGCGGGAUGACGGCCUGCGGGUUGUAUACCGAUGUCGCCUGUGACGAGGCGUGAGUGACGGUAAUGGGUAAAGAAGCACCGGCUAACUACGUG